CCUACGGGAGGCAGCAGUGGGGAAUAUUGGACAAUGGGGGCAACCCUGAUCCAGCCAUGCCACGUGUGUGAAGAAGGCCCUCGGGUUGUAAAGCACUUUCAGCGAGGAAGAACGCCUAGCGGUUAAUACCCGCUAGGAAAGACAUCACUCGCAGAAGAAGCACCGGCUAACUCCGUGCCAGCAGCCGCGGUAAUACGGAGGGUGCAAGUGUUAAUCGGAAUUACUGGGCGUAAAGCGCGCGUAGGUGGCUUGAUAAGCCGGUUGUGAAAGCCCCGGGCUCAACCUGGGAACGGCAUCCGGAACUGUCAAGCUAGAGUGCAGGAGAGGAAGGUAGAAUUCCCGGUGUAGCGGUGAAAUGCGUAGAGAUCGGGAGGAAUACCAGUGGCGAAGGCGGCCUUCUGGACUGACACUGACACUGAGGUGCGAAAGCGUGGGUAGCAAACAGGAUUAGAUACCCUGGUAGUCCACGCCGUAAACGAUGUCGACCAGCCGUUGGGUGCCUAGCGCACUUUGUGGCGAAGUUAACGCGAUAAGUCGACCGCCUGGGGAGUACGGCCGCAAGGUUAAAACUCAAAUGAAUUGACGGA
This 587-nucleotide ribosomal RNA is filed under the name uncultured bacterium. RNAcentral describes it as "bacterial SSU rRNA". It matches the Rfam family "Bacterial small subunit ribosomal RNA", at positions 338 to 917 of the family's 1533-position model. The record is from RNAcentral.